GCCAGCACCAUGGGGACCACAGGAAUGUGACUGUAAGGUCUUGGCUAUGUGUCCUCAGACAGGAGAUCAUGCUGCUUCCCAGAAGUGCCUUUGUCCAUGAGCAAUUGUAUGGUGGUCUGGACAGGAAAGCAGGAAAAUACCUUUGAUAUCCAGGAGUCUAGAGGCACUUACUUUCAGGAUGAAGGUCUGGCACAGCAUCUUCUGUCAUCAAUGGGAGCCCUUCCUCUGACUUGCAGAAAGAGAGGUAGUGUCUUAAUUUGUGAUUUUCAGUUUUUGAAUUUUCUGAAGUGCAUUGUCCAACUCAGUCUUCAGAUGCCUUCC
RNAcentral lists this long non-coding RNA (321 nucleotides) under Chloebia gouldiae (Gouldian finch). RNAcentral describes it as "Erythrura gouldiae (Gouldian finch) lncRNA (ENSEGOG00005006696.1)". The record is from RNAcentral. Lineage: Eukaryota; Metazoa; Chordata; Aves; Passeriformes; Passeridae.